RNAcentral lists this ribosomal RNA (75 nucleotides) under Emericellopsis minima. RNAcentral's name for it is "5.8S ribosomal RNA". It matches the Rfam family "5.8S ribosomal RNA", at positions 81 to 154 of the family's 154-position model. Rfam says of the family: 5.8S ribosomal RNA (5.8S rRNA) is a component of the large subunit of the eukaryotic ribosome. The record is from RNAcentral. Lineage: Eukaryota; Fungi; Ascomycota; Sordariomycetes; Hypocreales; Bionectriaceae. RNAcentral also lists the same sequence under 2 other names.
UCAGUGAAUCAUCGAAUCUUUGAACGCACAUUGCGCCCGCCAGUAUUCUGGCGGGCAUGCCUGUCUGAGCGUCAU